ACCAUCAAUAGGUGAAACUGCCAGAUGAUCUGGCCUUUCCCUAGAGAUGGAGGUCAAGGAAAGUUCAGAUCAUGCUGGCAGCUUCAACUACUACUAGUG
Molecule: microRNA precursor, 99 nt
Filed under: Citrus x clementina
Lineage: Eukaryota; Viridiplantae; Streptophyta; Magnoliopsida; Sapindales; Rutaceae
Description: Citrus clementina miRNA MIR167_1
Source: RNAcentral